Molecule: ribosomal RNA, 183 nt
Filed under: Anaerotignum lactatifermentans
Lineage: Bacteria; Bacillati; Bacillota; Clostridia; Lachnospirales; Anaerotignaceae
Description: partial 16S ribosomal RNA
Rfam family: Bacterial small subunit ribosomal RNA
Source: RNAcentral
UUUAAUAUAAGAGUUUGAUCCUGGCUCAGGAUGAACGCUGGCGGCGUGCUUAACACAUGCAAGUCGAACGAAGAUAUUUAGAAUGAGAGCUUCGGCAGGAUUUUUAUCUAUCUUAGUGGCGGACGGGUGAGUAACGUGUGGGCAACCUGCCCUGUACUGGGGAAUAAUCAUUGGAAACGAUGA